Molecule: ribosomal RNA, 389 nt
Filed under: uncultured bacterium
Lineage: Bacteria
Description: bacterial SSU rRNA
Rfam family: Bacterial small subunit ribosomal RNA
Source: RNAcentral
UGAACGCUGGCGGCAUGCCUUACACAUGCAAGUCGAACGGCAGCACGGGAGCAAUCCUGGUAGUCGGACGUCGGCGGGAAACGGGGUCGGGUAAAUUACGUAUCGGAACGUGCCCAGUCGUGGGGGAUAACGUAGCGAAAGCUACGCUAAUACCGCAUACGAUCUAUGGAUGAAAGCGGGGGAUCGCAAGACCUCGCGCGAUUGGAGCGGCCGAUAUCAGAUUAGGUUGUUGGUGGGGUAAAAGCCCACCAAGCCGACGAUCUGUAGCUGGUCUGAGAGGACGACCAGCCACACUGGGACUGAGACACGGCCCAGACUCCUACGGGAGGCAGCAGUGGGGAAUUUUGGACAAUGGGCGCAAGCCUGAUCCAGCAAUGCCGCGUGCAGGA